UACGAAGGGGGGCUAGCGUUGCUCGGAAUCACUGGGCGUAAAGGGUGCGUAGGCGGGUCUUUAAGUCGAGGGUGAAAUCCUGGAGCUCAACUCCAGAACUGCCUUUGAUACUGAGGAUCUUGAGUUCGGGAGAGGUGAGUGGAACUGCGAGUGUAGAGGUGAAAUUCGUAGAUAUUCGCAAGAACACCAGUGGCGAAGGCGGCUCACUGGCCCGAUACUGACGCUGAGGCACGAAAGCGUGGGGGAGCAAACAGG
Molecule: ribosomal RNA, 255 nt
Filed under: uncultured bacterium
Lineage: Bacteria
Description: partial 16S ribosomal RNA
Rfam family: Bacterial small subunit ribosomal RNA
Source: RNAcentral